RNAcentral lists this transfer RNA (72 nucleotides) under Plutella xylostella (diamondback moth). RNAcentral describes it as "tRNA-Glu". The stretch from base 4 to 64 matches the Rfam family "tRNA", at positions 7 to 64 of the family's 71-position model. From Rfam's summary of the family: Transfer RNA (tRNA) molecules are approximately 80 nucleotides in length. Their secondary structure includes four short double-helical elements and three loops (D, anti-codon, and T loops). Further hydrogen bonds mediate the characteristic L-shaped molecular structure. tRNAs have two regions of fundamental functional importance: the anti-codon, which is responsible for specific mRNA codon recognition, and the 3' end, to which the tRNAs corresponding amino acid is attached (by aminoacyl-tRNA synthetases). tRNAs cope with the degeneracy of the genetic code in two manners: having more than one tRNA (with a specific anti-codon) for a particular amino acid; and 'wobble' base-pairing, i.e. permitting non-standard base-pairing at the 3rd anti-codon position. Lineage: Eukaryota; Metazoa; Arthropoda; Insecta; Lepidoptera; Plutellidae. The record is from RNAcentral.
AUGGUAGCUUAGUCGGGUAAAGCGCUCGCUUCUCACGCCAGUAGAUGCGGGUGCGAAUCCCGGCGCUGAAUA